GAUGAACGCUGGCGGCGUGCCUAAUACAUGCAAGUCGAGCGAACGGACGAGAGUGCUUGCACUCUCUGACGUUAGCGGCGGACGGGUGAGUAACACGUGGGUAACCUACCUAUAAGACUGGGCUAACUUCGGGAAAUCGGAGCUAAUACCGGAUAAUAUUUAGCUUGGCAUGAAGCAAUAGUGCACGACGGUUCUGCUGUCACUUUCAGAUGGACCCGGGGUGUAUUAGCUAGUUGGUGAGGUAACGGCUCACUAAGGCAACGAUACAUAGCCGACCUGAGAGGGUGAUCGGCCACACUGGGACUGAGACACGGCCCAGACUCCUACGGGAGGCAGCAGUAGGGAAUCUUCCGCAAUGGGCGAAAGUCUGACGGAGCAAUGCCGCGUGAGUGAAGAAGGUUUUCGGAUCGUAAAACUCUGUUGUAAGGGAAGAACAAGUACGUGAGUAACUGAACGUACCUUGACGGUACCUUACCAGAAAGCCACGGCUAACUACGUG
Molecule: ribosomal RNA, 499 nt
Filed under: uncultured bacterium
Lineage: Bacteria
Description: partial 16S ribosomal RNA
Rfam family: Bacterial small subunit ribosomal RNA
Source: RNAcentral